UACUUUUACAAGUUAUAAUAACAAUCAUAUUGACAUGUCAAAAAAAAAUAUAUCAUUCAACAUAUGACCUUCUUGUUGUGUCCUUCAGAUUAAUGGUCAGGUUGGCCGAGCCACACUCGGGUCCAGAUAUUCAUUUGCUGGAUGUACUUGAUGUAGUCAUGUUAAUGGUUAGAUCUAACCAGAUUUUUCAGUAGAGGUGCUACACGCCUGCUGAAAAGAUACCUGAAGCAAAAUCUAAUUGCUAGAAAUUGUUUGGAGAAACAAUUAGUUAAGAACCUACCAAUGGAUGCACUA
RNAcentral lists this long non-coding RNA (294 nucleotides) under Elaeis guineensis (African oil palm). RNAcentral describes it as "long non-coding RNA (EGUI_LNC066802)". The record is from RNAcentral. Lineage: Eukaryota; Viridiplantae; Streptophyta; Magnoliopsida; Arecales; Arecaceae.